This is a long non-coding RNA of Alligator mississippiensis (American alligator), 643 nucleotides long. RefSeq lists it as uncharacterized. The record is from RefSeq and is a predicted model, not a curated record. Lineage: Eukaryota; Metazoa; Chordata; Crocodylia; Alligatoridae. The transcript has 2 exons.
UGGGGUAAGUUGUCACCACUCUGUAGACUUCACUGAAGCUGCAACAAUUUACAUCUGGGGGUAGAUCCCCUGCUGAUUUUGGUUUUUCACAGGUCAGUGGCUUUGUGGACUAUCCCAUCACUGUUAUAUAGGCAAAGAGCUGCUGCCUCUGGAAGCGCGCGGUAAUUCAAUGUCUCCAGUUCUGAUGAGGAAGGUGGGCCAGAAGUCACAAGGAAAUGAAUGAAGUGGAAUUCCAAGAAAAAAUAUGAUAAAAACAAAAACGUUUUCUUGACAAGAAUGAAACCUCAGUGAUUUCCUGAUGAGCUCUGCUACCAAGACAGGAUGGCCUGAAAGUCCACAUUUAAGUGCCAGGAAGUCUUCCCUUGUAUAACUGGAUUUUAAAACCAUGCAAAAGGUUCAGAAGACUGGAAAUUUGAUAGGCAGCAGGAUGCUACAUGGUACAUUUCAGUGCACUUAACUCUGAUUAGCCAAAGUUUCAUUUGUGCAGUUCUGUAUUUCGUUUCACAUCACUUCAUUAUGACUACUACUAUUAUUUACAUUUUGCACAAAUAUUAUUCCACAUGAUACACUAGUAUGUCCUCCCCUCCCCAAACUGGAACAACUGUGCAAUACUCGUGUGCCAAAUAAAAAAAACCCCAUCUGA